RNAcentral lists this ribosomal RNA (458 nucleotides) under uncultured bacterium. RNAcentral describes it as "partial 16S ribosomal RNA". It matches the Rfam family "Bacterial small subunit ribosomal RNA", at positions 338 to 795 of the family's 1533-position model. The record is from RNAcentral.
CCUACGGGUGGCAGCAGUGGGGAAUAUUGCACAAUGGGGGAAACCCUGAUGCAGCGACGCCGCGUGAGUGAAGAAGUAUUUCGGUAUGUAAAGCUCUAUCAGCAGGGAAGAAAUAGCGACUUUUGGGUCGCCAGACGGUAUCUGACUAAGAAGCGCCGGCUAACUACGUGCCAGCAGCCGCGGUAAUACGUAGGGGGCAAGCGUUAUCCGGAUUUAUUGGGUGUAAAGGGUGCGUAGACGGCAGCACAAGUCUGAAGUGAAAUGCCGGGGCUUAACCCCGGAACUGCUUUGGAAACUGUGCAGCUAGAGUGCAGGAGAGGUAAGUGGAAUUCCUAGUGUAGCGGUGAAAUGCGUAGAUAUUAGGAGGAACACCAGUGGCGAAGGCAGCUUACUGGACUGUAACUGACGUUGAGGCUCGAAAGCGUGGGGAGCAAACAGGAUUAGAUACCCCUGUAGUC